This 497-nucleotide ribosomal RNA is filed under the name uncultured bacterium. RNAcentral's name for it is "partial 16S ribosomal RNA". It matches the Rfam family "Bacterial small subunit ribosomal RNA", at positions 28 to 507 of the family's 1533-position model. The record is from RNAcentral.
GAUGAACGCUGGCGGCGUGCCUAAUACAUGCAAGUCGAGCGAACGGACGAGAAGCUUGCUUUUCUGAUGUUAGCGGCGGACGGGUGGGUAACACGUGGAUAACCUACCUAUAAGACUGGGAUAACCUCGGGAAACCGGAGCUAAUACCGGAUAAUAUUUUGAACCGCAUGGUUCAUAAGUGAAAGACGGUCUUGCUGUCACUUAUAGAUGGAUCCGCGCUGCAUUAGCUAGUUGGUAAGGUAACGGCUUACCAAGGCAACGAUGCAUAGCCGACCUGAGAGGGUGAUCGGCCACACUGGAACUGAGACACGGUCCAGACUCCUACGGGAGGCAGCAGUAGGGAAUCUUCCGCAAUGGGCGAAAGCCUGACGGAGCAACGCCGCGUGAGUGAUGAAGGUCUUCGGAUCGUAAAACUCUGUUAUUAGGGAAGAACAUAUGUGUAAGUAACUGUGCACAUCUUGACGGUACCUAAUCAGAAAGCCACGGCUAACUACGUG